UACGUAGGGGGCUAGCGUUGUCCGGAUUUACUGGGCGUACAGGGAGCGUAGGCGGUUGGAUAAGCCCUCCGUGAAAUCUCCAGGCUUAACCUGGAAAGUGCAGAGGGGACUGUUCAGCUAGAGGAUGGGAGAGGAGCGCGGAAUUCCUGGUGUAGCGGUGAAAUGCGCAGAUAUCAGGAGGAACACCGGUGGCGAAGGCGGGUCUCUGGGCCGAUACUGACGCUGAGGAGCGAAAGCGUGGGGAGCAAACAGG
Molecule: ribosomal RNA, 253 nt
Filed under: uncultured bacterium
Lineage: Bacteria
Description: partial 16S ribosomal RNA
Rfam family: Bacterial small subunit ribosomal RNA
Source: RNAcentral